This 1706-nucleotide long non-coding RNA is filed under the name Paramuricea clavata. The record is from RNAcentral. Lineage: Eukaryota; Metazoa; Cnidaria; Anthozoa; Malacalcyonacea; Plexauridae.
GUGCACGUCAAAUAUUUUAAAAUAAGAAAUAUCCUUCCAGUGGCAGCUGCACGAAAGGAAUUGCCAAAAAUCAAAAAGUUCUUACAACUAUCACAGCGCUUGGCAUCACACUUGUAGCAGCCUUCACCUUCCAGUUUAUUAGGCUUAUAUGGGUUAUAUAGUGCUAAUAACUCCUUCAUAUUGGCAUUACGCUUAUACGAAACAAGAAUAGCAAUAAAACAAGCAAGUAUUACUUGCUGCAACACAAAAAAGUCGUAACAAAACUUGUUUAAUAUUAAAAAUCUAAUAUCCUGCGACUUUCAUACAUUUUUGAUGAAAAAAUAAUUCAAAAUGGCCGACAUCAACAGUGAGAUGAGAGAAAGCGAAAUUGGUACGCCUUCUGUUCAAAGUGUGACCAAGGCAAAGUAAAAAAAGAAGAAAGAGGGUUAUGUUUUUGAGAAUGAAGAGGUUGAGUUUUUGAUAUAUGCAGGGAGUAAGCGAGAAGUUUUGUUUGACAGCAAAUAUGUUUGAUCAAAUUAUGUUUGAUAUUUUACUCAAUCGCGAGCCAAAAUUCGCAGCGAAGAGAAAAAUGUACAAUUACAACAAGGGUGAUUUUGUAGCUCUCCGUGAAUCUUUGAAACUCUUGCCUUUAACUGAUUUUGUUCUCAGUGAGAAUGAUAUUGACAUCGCAUGGUCCAAAUGGAAGGAUGCUUUCCUUGCUGCUGUUGAUACAUAUAUUCCGAGCAGGCAAACUUCACGAACCUACACUCCCUCCUAUUUUACAAGAGAAAUUAUCCACAUGUACUCCAUCAGAAAGAAUCUUUAAGGAAACGAGCAAGAAAGUCUAAUUCGGCAUUGCUAUGGGAAAAAUUUCGUGAACUACGUGGGUCAGCUAAACGCAUGAUCAAAUCCAAAAAGCGUGAUUAUAUAAGGAACCUUGCUAAAAUACGAUAAAAUUUAAUCCUAAACAAUUUUGGAAAUUUUUCAAAUCGAAAUCAAAAUAAAUCUACAUUAUACCUGAUACCUGAUGACCCUAUAGCUGACUCGACAUUUAAAUCAUCAAGUGCAUAAAUCGGAUGCUUUAAACAAAUUCUUUGCCUCUGUUUCUUCCUCGUCCCAAAAACCCAUGUUUCCCUUCAUCCAACACUGUCCUUGUAACUCCAACUGAGUUUUCUGAUGUUUCGGUGGAAGACUGAGUUUGUCGUCUGCUAAAUAAUCUAUCCACAUCAAAAGCUACGGGUCCAGAUGGAAUAUCGGCAAGAUUAGUAAAGGAGUGUUUGGAAGUCCUUGCUUCCUGGAAUGUUAACAAGGGGGGCUCUCCAAAAGUGUCACGAAUUGGGGAGGGCGUACAAUAUGAUAUUUUGGAAAUUCUAAAUUUUGUUGGGGUUUAUUCUAGUAAUUGUGGGACAAACAUUCAAAAUUAUUCUCAUUAAAAACAACUGCCGUUUCCAUAAUUGCUAUAACAGCCUAAUAUUUAUUAACUGUAACAUAUAUUUUGAAAUAUCUUCGGGAAAGCUCUUUAAUAGCUGCUGUAGCCUCUAUAUAAAAUCAACAAAACUGAAAACACUCAAGUGAAAAUGCUCUGGACAGAGUUUAAAUCAGCCAAAGAGGAUCGGUACUUCAACAGCCAAUUUGCUACGGCGCAUAAACAAUGCGAUUAAGUAAAGAUUACAAAAAUCAUUAUCGUGUUAAAUGAUGACUGAAAAUGAAACGCAAUUCUAAACGCU